Molecule: long non-coding RNA, 812 nt
Filed under: Cicer arietinum (chickpea)
Lineage: Eukaryota; Viridiplantae; Streptophyta; Magnoliopsida; Fabales; Fabaceae
Description: long non-coding RNA (CARI_LNC001755)
Source: RNAcentral
UGUACGUAUCUUUUUUAUGCAAUUACAUAGAAUCAUUGAUAACAAAAAAAUGGGUGCAGGAACUCUAUGCUCUAAUGUUAAUCAACAUGCCUACAACCAAAGGAGAGAGUAAAACCCAAAGUCAAGACAAGCAGCUUGAUGCUGAGGGAGAAGAUGGCAACGAGGAUGAAGACGACGAAGAAGAUGAUGAUGGAGAUGGUGCAUUUGGAGAAGGAGAAGAGGAAUUGUCAUCUGAAGAUGGAGGUGGAUAUGGCAACAAUUCCAACAAUAAGAGCAACUCAAAGAAGACUCCUGAAGGUGGUGCUGGUGGGGCAGAUGAAAAUGGAGAAGAGGAAGACGAUGAAGAUGGUGAAGGUGAUGACCAUGAUGAAGAUGACGAUGAGGACGAGGACGACGAAGAAGAGGAUGAGGUCGGAGAAGAGGACGAAGAAGAUGGUGUUGAAGAAGAGAAUGAAGAGGAAGAAGAAGACGAAGAUGAGGAAGCCUUGCAGCCACCAAAGAAAAGGAAGAAGUGAAUUUAGCUUAGUCAAGCCUCCUUUUGUAUUGUUGUGUACGAAUUUGGCUUCUAACUUCCCAUGAUGUUUUUUUUAAGUAUUAAACUUCUAUGUUCUUGUUUUCUUUAUAAGGAGGCCUAUGUAGGACAUGUUUUAAUUGAUAUCUGUGUUUACCAUUGCGUAAUUAGAAUUCUACAUUAUGUUGAGCAGUCAGUCUUAAAUUUACAAGACAGAAAAAAUAAUGAUCCUAGUUAAUUUUAACGUGACUUUUCUCACUUCACCAACUUCUGUAAUUUGUUUAUGUUCUACUACAGUUCC